GUGGGGAAUAUUGGACAAUGGGCGCAAGCCUGAUCCAGCCAUGCCGCGUGAGUGAUGAAGGCCUUAGGGUUGUAAAGCUCUUUUGUCCGGGAAGAUAAUGACUGUACCGGAAGAAUAAGCCCCGGCUAACUUCGUGCCAGCAGCCGCGGUAAUACGAAGGGGGCUAGCGUUGCUCGGAAUCACUGGGCGUAAAGGGCGCGUAGGCGGACUCUUAAGUCGGGGGUGAAAGCCCAGGGCUCAACCCUGGAAUUGCCUUCGAUACUGAGAGUCUUGAGUUCGGAAGAGGUGAGUGGAACUCCUAGUGUAGAGGUGGAAUUCGUAGAUAUUAGGAAGAACACCAGUGGCGAAGGCGGCUCACUGGUCCGGUACUGACGCUGAGGUGCGAAAGCGUGGGGAGCAAACAGGAUUAGAAACCCGAGUAGUCC
RNAcentral lists this ribosomal RNA (425 nucleotides) under uncultured bacterium. Its description in RNAcentral is "partial 16S ribosomal RNA". It matches the Rfam family "Bacterial small subunit ribosomal RNA", at positions 354 to 796 of the family's 1533-position model. The record is from RNAcentral.